This 415-nucleotide ribosomal RNA is filed under the name beta proteobacterium SCGC AAA023-C06. RNAcentral's name for it is "bacterial SSU rRNA". It matches the Rfam family "Bacterial small subunit ribosomal RNA", at positions 380 to 787 of the family's 1533-position model. The record is from RNAcentral. Lineage: Bacteria; Pseudomonadati; Pseudomonadota; Betaproteobacteria.
AGCCUGAUCCAGCAAUGCCGCGUGUGGGAAGAAGGCCUUCGGGUUGUAAACCACUUUUGUGCGGAACGAAACGGUUCGCUUUAAUACAGUGGGCUAAUGACGGUACCGUAAGAAUAAGCACCGGCUAACUACGUGCCAGCAGCCGCGGUAAUACGUAGGGUGCAAGCGUUAAUCGGAAUUACUGGGCGUAAAGCGUGCGCAGGCGGUUAUAUAAGACAGUUGUGAAAUCCCCGGGCUCAACCUGGGAAUUGCAUCUGUGACUGUAUAGCUAGAGUACGGUAGAGGGGGAUGGAAUUCCGCGUGUAGCAGUGAAAUGCGUAGAUAUGCGGAGGAACACCGAUGGCGAAGGCAAUCCCCUGGACCUGUACUGACGCUCAUGCACGAAAGCGUGGGGAGCAAACAGGAUUAGAUACCC